Molecule: ribosomal RNA, 253 nt
Filed under: uncultured bacterium
Lineage: Bacteria
Description: partial 16S ribosomal RNA
Rfam family: Bacterial small subunit ribosomal RNA
Source: RNAcentral
UACGAAGGGGGCUAGCGUUGCUCGGAAUCACUGGGCGUAAAGGGUGCGUAGGCGGGUCUUUAAGUCAGGGGUGAAAUCCUGGAGCUCAACUCCAGAACUGCCUUUGAUACUGAGGAUCUUGAGUUCGGGAGAGGUGAGUGGAACUGCGAGUGUAGAGGUGAAAUUCGUAGAUAUUCGCAAGAACACCAGUGGCGAAGGCGAGUCCCUGGACAACUUCUGACGCUGAGGCACGAAAGCUAGGGGAGCAAACAGG